RNAcentral lists this ribosomal RNA (448 nucleotides) under uncultured bacterium. Its description in RNAcentral is "bacterial SSU rRNA". It matches the Rfam family "Bacterial small subunit ribosomal RNA", at positions 340 to 805 of the family's 1533-position model. The record is from RNAcentral.
UACGGGAGGCAGCAGUGGGGAAUAUUGCACAAUGGGGGAAACCCUGAUGCAGCGACGCCGCGUGAGUGAAGAAGUAUUUCGGUAUGUAAAGCUCUAUCAGCAGGGAAGAAAAUGACGGUACCUGACUAAGAAGCCCCGGCUAACUACGUGCCAGCAGCCGCGGUAAUACGUAGGGGGCAAGCGUUAUCCGGAUUUACUGGGUGUAAAGGGAGCGUAGACGGCUAAGCAAGUCAGAAGUGAAAGGCUGGGGCUCAACCCCGGGACUGCUUUUGAAACUGUUUAGCUAGAGUGCUGGAGAGGUAAGCGGAAUUCCUAGUGUAGCGGUGAAAUGCGUAGAUAUUAGGAGGGACACCAGUGGCGAAGGCGGCUUACUGGACAGUAACUGACGUUGAGGCUCGAAAGCGUGGGGAGCAAACAGGAUUAGAUACCCUGGUAGUCCACGCCGUAA